GAUGAACGCUGGCGGCGUGCCUAAUACAUGCAAGUCGAGCGAACAGACGAGGAGCUUGCUCCUCUGACGUUAGCGGCGGACGGGUGAGUAACACGUGGAUAACCUACCUAUAAGACUGGGAUAACUUCGGGAAACCGGAGCUAAUACCGGAUAAUAUAUUGAACCGCAUGGUUCAAUAGUGAAAGACGGUUUUGCUGUCACGUAUAGAUGGAUCCGCGCCGCAUUAGCUAGUUGGUAAGGUAACGGCUUACCAAGGCGACGAUGCGUAGCCGACCUGAGAGGGUGAUCGGCCACACUGGAACUGAGACACGGUCCUGACUCCUACGGGACGCAGCAGUCGGGAAUCUUCCGCAAUGGGCGAAAGCCUGACGGAGCAACGCCGCGUGAGUGAUGAAGGUCUUCGGAUCGUAAAACUCUGUUAUUAGGGAAGAACAAAUGUGUAAGUAACUAUGCACGUCUUGACGGUACCUAAUCAGAAAGCCACGGCUAACUACGUG
RNAcentral lists this ribosomal RNA (497 nucleotides) under uncultured bacterium. Its description in RNAcentral is "partial 16S ribosomal RNA". It matches the Rfam family "Bacterial small subunit ribosomal RNA", at positions 28 to 507 of the family's 1533-position model. The record is from RNAcentral.